Saccostrea cuccullata (small rock oyster) is the source of this 628-nucleotide long non-coding RNA. RefSeq lists it as uncharacterized. The transcript has 2 exons. Lineage: Eukaryota; Metazoa; Mollusca; Bivalvia; Ostreida; Ostreidae. The record is from RefSeq and is a predicted model, not a curated record.
GAACAACAUCCCCUUGAAGUGUGCAGUUCCUAAGUUUAUGUUAACUUAUAGAGAUGCAUCGGACAUUAAUUUCAGUUUUAGUGUUGUGUUGCCUUGGGUCCUGUGUUGGCCAGUCUCAAGGUAUCAUUGAUGCACUGUGUGGUAAGAUUGGCAAGUUACUUUUAUGUCAAUGUGCUGCUGAAGGGGCAUGCGAAGACGGUCAUCUUCCUGUAGGAAUGUGUCCAAGGAUCCCCGGGUUGCCAAUGCCACCCCGGCUACAAUGCUGUCCACCUAUUCACGUAAUGCUCUGCUUGCAGUCACAAAGAGGAAGUUCCAACAGGGCUCAAACGAGAAAUUCACUUCUAUACCCGGGGGCUAAACCACAACCCUUUAUAUGAUUUACAUUAUAAAAAGGAUUGUGUUAUGUUUGACAUCCGAAAAGUGAAAUCAAGAAGACAUUGAUGUGUUAUAUUGAAACAGAAUUAUUCUUCAAAUACAACAUUGUCAUAUCCAGUCGAGCUUAUUUAUUCUAUUAUAACAUGGAUAUUUUAUAAACAACUAAAGUUAUGAUAAUGUUCCAUGAUGGGUUUCUAAAAGAAAUGUGAAACACCUCUACAGAGGUAGAAAAAAUAAAGAUACUUUCAAAUUA